UACGAAGGGGGCUAGCGUUGUUCGGAAUUACUGGGCGUAAAGGGCGCGUAGGCGGGGUGUCAAGUCAGGCGUGAAAGCCCCGGGCUCAACCUGGGAACCGCGCUUGAGACUGGCACGCUAGAGUUCGGGAGAGGAUGGUGGAAUUCCCAGUGUAGAGGUGAAAUUCGUAGAUAUUGGGAAGAACACCGAUGGCGAAGGCAGCCAUCUGGACCGACACUGACGCUGAGGCGCGAAAGCGUGGGGAGCAAACAGG
RNAcentral lists this ribosomal RNA (253 nucleotides) under uncultured bacterium. RNAcentral's name for it is "partial 16S ribosomal RNA". It matches the Rfam family "Bacterial small subunit ribosomal RNA", at positions 524 to 776 of the family's 1533-position model. The record is from RNAcentral.